Molecule: long non-coding RNA, 656 nt
Organism: Ananas comosus (pineapple)
Lineage: Eukaryota; Viridiplantae; Streptophyta; Magnoliopsida; Poales; Bromeliaceae
Exons: 3
Source: RefSeq, a predicted model, not a curated record
AGCGAAAACGGACAUUCAGAAGGGCUCCAAUUAAAUGUAUCAGACUAGAACUGGACUGAAGUGAUAAUAUUAAUGACCUAUGGACCUAAAGGCAAUUGUUACAUUGCUUAGUGGAUUUCCACUAAGCUGCCAGGGGGAACCUCCAUUCUUAUCCUCUCCCUGUACGCAUGAGAGAGAGAGGGAAAGGGAGAAAAGGGAAAAAGAGAAGAAGAAGAAGUAAUGAAAUUGGUGUCGUUUGACGAGCCGAUUGAUCCCCCGCGCGUGUUGGAUUUUUCCGGCGCUUCGACUGCGAAAAAUCGAUUUUAAUGUGAUUUAGGAGCCGAUUUUGAGACCGUUUCGUCGACCGAUUUUUUCGUGACUUUCAGGUUGUUGUGGCUGCCAUGCGGAUUGGAUUUGGGCUGUGAGGUGGCUUCCGAGUAGUGGUAAUCUGCAAGAUAUAUCAACCUGAGGAUUGAGACCCUAACGUGAAAUUGGUCGCGUGUAAACCUAAUUGAAGGUAAAACAAACGCGUUGGCGAAGUCGGCUCGGCAAUCCAUCGAGCCUACGCAAAAAUAUCACCAAAAGGACGUUUUCGGCAUCAAUUGUCGCGAGCGCGGGUCGCGGUUCUCGGGAAGUGCGGGAAGUGGAUUUCUCGCGUUCAGGUAUCAAAUAAAGGU